CUCCUGCGCACUAAGGCUCCAGGAGGACACCCUGCCCGCCUGGCGAAAAUGGUCGCUGCACGCUUACCCCCAGUGACGUUAACGCUGAAGCAGUUCAUGAGAAGGCAACAAGUUCUCCUCCUGUACAGAAGGAUUUUGCAAGCCAUUCGGCAAGUUCCAAGUGAUUCUGAUCGCAAAUACCUGAAGGACUGGGCAAGGGAAGAAUUCAAAAAAAACAAAAGUGCCACAGAAGAGGAUACAAUCCGGAUGAUGAUUACUCAUGGAAAUAUGCAACUCAAGGAGUUAGAAAAAACACUUGCUUUAGCAAAAUCUUAAGUACUGGAUUAUUCUGAAGGAUUUUCAAAAUCUCCACAUGUUUUGUUGAAAUUAGGUUUAACAGUGGGCAACCCAAAGUCAAGUCAAACUGUUUACAUGUAUAUACAGCAUUUGGAAAAAAUACCAGAAGAUGGAGCAUGGUAGGUCUGCAAGAGAAAAAGAAAGCACAUCAGAACAAUUGCCUUAGCACUGAAAAACUUACUCUGUGUUUUAAAAAUGUUGCUGGAUGUGUCAGCAAUUUUUGUAAGAUGCAAAAGCCACUAUAAAAAAUGGCCAGUUAGCAUGUGAAAUAGCCCUCAACACAAUUAUCAGGAAAAUCAAAAGCACAAUGAGAUAUUACUUCAAAUCCACUGGAAUGGCUAUCAUUAAAAAGGUAAAUAAUAACAAAUGUGGUGAAGAUAGAGAGACAUUGGAACCCUGCUAGCGGGAAUAUAAAAUGGAACAGCCAGUUUGGAAAACAGACUAUCACUCCUCAGAAGGUUAACUAUAAAGUUACUGGGGCCAGCAAGUGGUGUGGUGGUUAAAGGCACUGGACUACCACAUGGCCAACCAUGGUUUGAGUCCCAGACUUGGCAGCUUGCUUUGUCUGUCUGUCUGUCUGUCUGUCUGUCUCUCUCUCUUUGUCUCUGGUCAAAUUAAAAAUAAAUAAAGUAAAAAAAAAAGUUACCAUAUAAUUUAGCAAUUCUCCUCUGAGGUCUGUAACCAAGAGAAUUGAAAAUGUGUCUGUAAAAGACUUGUACAUGAAUGUUCAUAGCAUUAGCAUUCGUAAAAGCCAAAAAAAUGGAAACAGUCCAAAUGCUCAUCAGCUGAUAAGUAGAUAAGUAUAUGGUAUAGUCAUACAAUAAAAUAUUAUUUGGCAUUAAAAAGGAAUGAAGGAUUGGGAUAUGCUACACAUGGCUGAAUAUUGAAAAUAUUAUUAAAUGAAAGAAACCAGUCACAAAAGAUUAUGUAUUAUGUGAUUCCAUUCACAUGACAUGUCCAGAAUAAACAGAAAGAUUAGUGGUUGUGGAUGGAAUGGAGAGUAAUGCCUCAUGUGUGGAGUUUCUUUUAAAAAUAUCCUAAAGUUAGAUUAUGGUGUUGGUUGCACAGCUCUGUGAAUAUGCUCAAAUCCACUGAAUUACACAUUUUAAAUAUAGUAAAGGAAUUAUAUUUUUAAUAAAAUGGGUUUAAAAAGCAUUAUGAGAUGUAGGACUGACCCCAGGACAUACCUUAGAUCUUUCUUAAAAAAUUCUCUAGCGUUACUUCUCAGAGUUGAUGAGGUUUGUUCUUUGGAUAGGUCAUGAUUUGAUAAGAGGACUCUCCAAAACAAUCACCACUGCGUAAUUUGGAAUAUGUUGGGAAGAUGAGAAACUUAUCGAAGCACUUAGCAAUGAGAAGAGGGAAAACUCUUCAGCAAUUCCGAAUGAAUCUUCUGCAGUUACUUCAACAUCCAUGUGGAAAGUAAAGAAAUCAUAGAAGGUCUUUAGUGCUGUAGGUUCUCCUCCAAUGACAGGAAAAAAUGGAGAGAAUUUGAAGAAUACAUCAGAGAUAAAUGUAUUACAAAGUUCAUUUCAGGACACUUGAAAAAGACAUUUAUAAGAUACAAUUAAGUUCAUCGAAUGUGUGAAAGUUUGUGGAAGAUGCUGAGAUUUGCAGUUCAAAACACACAAGUCCUGUGCUCAUCAAAGAAACAGAGCCAAGAAGCUAAUCUAAGAAUCUGACUAGCACUUAAAAAGUACAGAAUUUUGCAGAGUAAUAAAUGGUUAUCUAGUACUGCAGUGUAUGCCAGAGGAGAGGUAUAAACUGAUGGUGGCCAUGCUGAUAACUGCCAAAGGCCACUCCCAUCUCCGCAUAACUGAGCCCCCAAGACGAAAUCAUUCUGAAUACUGUUUCAUAGUGGUAAUCUCCCAAUGCAAAAUGCUUACAUGAGACAGUUUUCAGGCUUUUAUAUAGUUAUAAAUCAACCUACUGCAAAAUGAUCAGACAAACAGGAGAAGCAUUCGUAAACAGUUUUAGAACAGAGAACACUUUGGAAAUGUGUGUGGUUUGACUGAUACAUACUUAAAUAUAGGCUAUUGGGUUUUUCUUUCCUUUUUUUAAAAUUAAUUUUAUUUAUUCAUUCUAAUUUGACAGAGAGACACACAGAGAGAAAGAGAGAGAGCAGAAAUGAGAUAGCAAGGCACAAGGUCCAGGACUUGAACUGUGGUCUGCCAUGUGGGAGUGUCCAGCACCUUAACCACCACAUCACUUGCUGGUCCCUUUAUAGGCUAUUGUUAUUAAAUCCAAAAUCUUUUAAAAAAACUCCUUUUAUAAUGUAUUGAAGCCAAUGACUUUUGGUGAUGUUCUUCCUGAUAGUGGGAUACAUGAAGAACUUAAAUGAGUGUGUGUAUUAAUAGUUUCAGUUUGCAAGAAAUAAACAUCACAGACUCCAAAAACA
This is an RNA transcript of Tupaia belangeri chinensis (Chinese tree shrew), 2731 nucleotides long. It is a transcript of the gene named LYR motif containing 2, with no coding region annotated. NCBI's taxonomy places the organism in Eukaryota, Metazoa, Chordata, Mammalia, Scandentia, Tupaiidae. The transcript has 4 exons. The record is from RefSeq and is a predicted model, not a curated record.